GAUGAAGAACGCAGCGAAAUGCGAUACGUAGUGUGAAUUACAGAAUUCAGUGAAUCAUCGAAUCUUUGAACGCACAUUGCACCUCUCGGUAUUCCGGGAGGUAUGCCUGUUCGAGCGUCAUUUGUACCCUCAAGCUCUGCUUGGUGUUGGGUGUUUGUUCCGCCUCUGUGUGUGAACUCGCCUCAAAACAAUUGGCAGCCGGCGUACUUGUUUCGGAGCGCAGCACAUUUUGCGAUCCAGAUCAACGUACAGCGGCAUCCAAGAAGCCUUAUUUAACGCUCUUGACCUCGGAUCAGGUAGGGAUACCCGCUGAACUUAAGCAUAUCAAUAAGCGGAGGA
RNAcentral lists this unclassified non-coding RNA (339 nucleotides) under soil metagenome. RNAcentral's name for it is "partial contains 5.8S ribosomal RNA, internal transcribed spacer 2, and large subunit ribosomal RNA". The stretch from base 1 to 120 matches the Rfam family "5.8S ribosomal RNA", at positions 35 to 154 of the family's 154-position model. The record is from RNAcentral.